AGCAAACAAAGCCGAGGCCGGGGGGAAGGCCACACAGUCCAGUAAGUGGUGCCAUUGAGCUGGGGACAGAGCAAGCAGGGCAGGCAGGCUCCUCCUCUUCGCAGGCUUCUAUUCCAGGGGAGACACCAGAUAACGCACAUGGGAUCCGUUGAGAGGAACCGUGACAGCGUGAGGCGUCACAACAUGGAUUUCUGCGAUCCCUGGCACUUUGGAAAUAGUCUCCGUGUGGCUUGCAUUCAUCCAGCAAGCUGCUUUUGACAAUGUCGAUAUGCGCACACAUACGUUUCUGCGUGAAAAUAGAUCUUAGCGAGAUGCUGCACGAUGGUUUGUAACGAGCUUUGUUUCCUUCACGUGGACUAGAAUGCCAUGUACCAUCCGAACAUAAUUUAUUUCGGCGAUUCCUUUUUGUUGGGUAUUUGUCUGAUGAUUUCUUGAGGGUAAAUCCCUAGAGCUGGAGUUCCUGGGGCCAAAGCACCACAUGACUUCUGAUGUGGGUGACGAAGCUGCCCUCCAGAGGGACCCAGCGUGUGAGCGCGCCUGGAGCCCCACGCUCUCAGCAGCCCUGGUGGGUGACCGUCCCAGCCCCUGCCCACCUCCCGGGGUUUUAAAAAGCAUACCUAGGUAUAAGGGCAUCAUUAAAUAUUUGUAAUAUAUUUAUUAGAUAUGUUUUCAAUUUUAGGGGCAUGUGUAGUCAUACCUUUUAAUUUGUGUGUGUGUGCUGGCUGCGAGCGGAGGGCUGGGAGGAGGAAGCUGGGAAGCCUGCUGAUUGGCCCAGACCAGAGUUCCGGCCCCUGUGGGAGAGCCACGCCCAGGAGAGCACUGUCACUCAAACCCAGUGUACACACACGUGUAUAUAUAACUGGGAAGUGAACCUUCACCGGCAAUAUUUACCUUCACUCUGAUUUAGUCCAACAUUUUUUGUUUACAUGUUUAAAUGCUGUUCCUACCACAGUUAAAUCGAUUGCAUAAUCCUGUGAUGGACCGGCUGCUAUCGUUUGAAAAAUCACUGGCUUAAAAGAAUCAACUGCCUGGAACAUAUCGGCACUGAACCAAAUCAGGGUCUGGUUAGCACCGAAGAAGAGGGAGGUAGAUAUCAGAAACACCCAAACUGGGACCAGCGUCAGACCUAAAAGGAAGGCCAGGCUGUGGCCAGGUGCAGCCGGGAGAGGAGGCAGGGAAGCAGAACAGUGUCUGGGCGCCCCGCUCCGCUGGCCUGUGCGCAGGGAGUCGGGCUGGGAGAGCGUUCGAGCCCCCCCUAGCGCAGAGGACCCUGACUACCAGGCUGCAGCAGAGACCCUUCACGGAGGGGCUCAUCUCGGGCUGCUGUGACAAAUUACCAGACACUGGAUGGCUUAAACGACAAACAUUUAUCUCCCAGUCCUGGGACCUGGAAGACCGUGGUCAGGGUGC
This is a long non-coding RNA of Pteronotus mesoamericanus, 1410 nucleotides long. RefSeq lists it as uncharacterized. The record is from RefSeq and is a predicted model, not a curated record. NCBI's taxonomy places the organism in Eukaryota, Metazoa, Chordata, Mammalia, Chiroptera, Mormoopidae. The transcript has 3 exons.